GAAAGUAAGCAAGGGCAGACGGUGGAUGCCUUGGCUCUCGGAGGCGACGAAGGACGUGAUAAGCUGCGAAAAGCCCGGGGGAGGCGCAAAUAGCCGUUGAUCCCGGGAUAUCCGAAUGGGGCAACCCGGCAGGUUGAAGGCCUGUCAUCCCGAAAGGGAGGCGAACGUGGGGAACUGAAACAUCUAAGUACCCAUAGGAGGAGAAAAUAAACAAUGAUUCCGUAAGUAGUGGCGAGCGAACACGGAAGAGCCCAAACCCAUGUCGUCUAGGCGACACGGGGGUUGUAGGACCACGACGUGGCAAGAUAGAGUCAAGUGGAACGCCUUGGAAAGGGCGACCGUAGAGGGUGAUAGUCCCGUACACGACUGACGAUUGAAGCCUAGUGGUAUCCUGAGUAGCGCGGGGCACGAGAAAUCUUGCGUGAAUUAGCGGGGCCCAUCCCGUAAGGCUAAAUACUCCCGAGAGACCGAUAGCGAACCAGUACCGUGAGGGAAAGGUGAAAAGAACCCCGAGCAGGGGAGUGAAAUAGACCCUGAACCCGUCUGCCUACAAGCGGUCGGAGCGUCGUAAUGACGUGACGGCGUGCCUUUUGCAUAAUGAACCUACGAGUUACCUUCCCCGGCAAGGUUAAGUACCUAAGGUACGGAGCCGAAGCGAAAGCGAGUCUGAACAGGGCGCCAAGUCGGGGGGGGUAGACGCGAAACCGAGUGAUCUACCCUUGGCCAGGUUGAAGGUUGGGUAACACCAACUGGAGGACCGGAUGGGUAAGCGUUGAAAAGCUUUCCAAUGAGCUGAGGGUAGGGGUGAAAGGCUAAUCAAACUCGGAGAUAGCUCGUACUCCCCGAAAUGCAUUUAGGUGCAGCCUCUUUAUAGUAUAUCGUGAGGUAGAGCGACUGAUUGGAUGCGAGGGCUUCACCGCCUAUCAAGUCCAGAUAAACUCCGAAUGCGCGAUAUAUAUUUACAGGGAGUGAGGGCGCGGGUGCUAAGGUCCGUGUCCGAGAGGAGAAGAAUCCAGACCACCGGCUAAGGCCCCCAAAUGAUCGUUAAGUUGAACUAACGAGGUCGGAUCGCAGAGACAGCUAGGAUGUUGGCUUGGAAGCAGCCAUUCAUUUAAAGAGUGCGUAACAGCUCACUAGUCGAGCGAUCUGGCGUGGAUAAUAAUCGGGCAUAAACGAUCUGCCGAAGCCGUGGAUGUCGCAAGACAUGGUAGGGGAGCAUUCCAUGCGGCGUCGAAGAUGAGGGAUGACCCUUGUUGGAGCGCAUGGAAAAGCAAAUGUAGGUAUGAGUAACGAUAAGGGGGGCGAGAAACCCCCCCGCCGAAAGACCAAGGUUUCCUGAUCAACGCUAAUCGGAUCAGGGUGAGUCGGGACCUAAGGCAAAGCCGAACGGCGCCGCCGAUGGAAGAAUGGGUUAAUAUUCCCAUACUGCCUCAUGGAGUGACGUGGAGACGGAGAAGUGACAGUCCUGCCGGCUGACGGAAUAGCCGGUUGAAGGGUGUAGAUAUUGAUUCCCGUAGGCAAAUCCGCGGGGAGAGUCGAACCUGAGAGUAUACGGAGCGCUUGCGCGACGUAAUAUGGACGUAACCAUGCUCCCGAGAAAAUCCGCUAAACUUAUCCAUGCGGCACCCGUACCGUAAACGGACACACGUGGUCGGGUUGAGAAUACUGAGGCGCUCGAGUGAUUCACGGUUAAGGAACUAGGCAAAUUGACCCUGUAACUUCGGGAUAAAGGGUCCUCGUCGUAAGGCGAGGCGCAGAGAAUAGGUCCAGGCAACUGUUUAACAAAAACACAUGGCUGUGCUAAAUGGAAACAUGACGUAUACAGCCUGACACCUGCCCGGUGCCGGAAGGUUAAGAGGAGAUGUCAUCCGCGAGGAGAAGCGUUGAAUUGAAGCCCCGGUAAACGGCGGCCGUAACUAUAACGGUCCUAAGGUAGCGAAAUUCCUUGUCGGGUAAGUUCCGACCUGCACGAAUGGUGUAAUGAUCUGGACACUGUCUCAACCGUGAGCUCAGUGAAAUUGUAGUAUCGGUGAAGAUGCCGAUUACCCGCGAUGGGACGAAAAGACCCCGUGAACCUUUACUAUAGCUUAACAUUGAAUUUGGGUAAUUGAUGUGUAGGAUAGGCCGGAGGCUUUGAAGCAGGUACGCCAGUAUUUGUGGAGCCGACGUUGAAAUACGGCCCUUCGGUUGUUUGAGUUCUAACUCCUAGUUAGGAGGACACUGUAUGGUGGGUAGUUUGACUGGGGUGGUCGCCUCCAAAAGCGUAACGGAGGCUUCUAAAGGUGCCCUCAGACCGAUUGGUAACCGGUCGCAGAGUGUAAUGGCAUAAGGGCGCUUGACUGGGAGACAUACAAGUCGAUCAGGUAGGAAACUAGAGCAUAGUGAUCCGGUGGUUCCGCAUGGAAGGGCCAUCGCUCAAAGGAUAAAAGGUACUCCGGGGAUAACAGGCUGAUCCCUCCCAAGAGCUCAUAUCGACGGAGGGGUUUGGCACCUCGAUGUCGGCUCGUCACAUCCUGGGGCUGGAGAAGGUCCCAAGGGUUGGGCUGUUCGCCCAUUAAAGUGGCACGCGAGCUGGGUUCAGAACGUCGUGAGACAGUUCGGUCUCUAUCUAUCGUGGGCGCAGGAGAUUUGAGGGGCUCUGACACUAGUACGAGAGGACCGUGUCGGACGUACCACUGGUUUACCGGUUGUCCCGCCAGGGGCACCGCCGGGUAUCUAAGUACGGAUCGGAUAAGUGCUGAAAGCAUCUAAGUACGAAGCCGGCCUCAAGAUUAGAUCUCCCUCAAGGGUGGUUAUAGACGAUGACCUUGAUAGGCCACAGGUGUAAGGGCGGCGACGUCCGAGCCGAGUGGUACUAAUAGCCCGGGACUUUCCUCA
RNAcentral lists this ribosomal RNA (2877 nucleotides) under human gut metagenome. RNAcentral's name for it is "bacterial LSU rRNA". It matches the Rfam family "Bacterial large subunit ribosomal RNA". The record is from RNAcentral.